UAUUGUCGCUAUGGUUGCUGC
This 21-nucleotide non-coding RNA is filed under the name Arabidopsis thaliana (thale cress). The record is from RNAcentral. Lineage: Eukaryota; Viridiplantae; Streptophyta; Magnoliopsida; Brassicales; Brassicaceae.